CCUACGGGAGGCAGCAGUGGGGAAUAUUGCACAAUGGGGGAAACUCUGAUGCAGCGACGCCGCGUGGGCGAAGAAGUAUUUCUGAUUGUAAAGCCCUAUCAUCUGGGACGAAUAAAUGACGGUACCUGAGUAAUAAGCACCGGCUAAAUACGUGCCAGCAGCCGCGGUAAUACGUAUGGUGUAAGCGUUAUCCGGAUUUACUGGGCGUAAAGGGAGCGCAGGCGGCACGGGAAGCAUGAUGUGAAAUCCCGCGGCCCAACCUCGGGGCUGCAUUGAGAACUAUCGGGCUUGAGUUCCGGAGAGGUAGGGGGAAUUCCUAGUGUAGCGGUGGAAUGCGUAGAUAUUAGGAGGAACACCAGUGGCGAAGGCGACCUACUGGACGGUGACUGACGCUGAGGCACGAAAGCGUGGGGAGCAAACAGGAUUAGAUACCCCAGUAGUC
Molecule: ribosomal RNA, 442 nt
Filed under: uncultured bacterium
Lineage: Bacteria
Description: partial 16S ribosomal RNA
Rfam family: Bacterial small subunit ribosomal RNA
Source: RNAcentral